This 278-nucleotide ribosomal RNA is filed under the name uncultured eukaryote. Its description in RNAcentral is "partial 18S ribosomal RNA". It matches the Rfam family "Eukaryotic small subunit ribosomal RNA", at positions 25 to 299 of the family's 1831-position model. The record is from RNAcentral.
UAGCAUAUGCUUGUCUUAAAGACUAAGCCAUGCAUGUCUAAGUAUAAACCUUUAUACGGUGAAACUGCGAAUGGCUCAUUAAAUCAGUUAUAGUUUAUUUGAUAAUACCUACUACUUGGAUAACCGUAGUAAUUCUAGAGCUAAUACAUGCUAAAGCACCCGACUCGCGAAGGGUGGCAUUUAUUAGAUAAAAAACCAAUGCGGGCCUCGGCCCGGUCCAUUGAUGACUCAUAAUAACUGAGCGAAUCGCAUGGCCUCCGCGCCGGCGAUGAUUCAUU